Long non-coding RNA from Vicia villosa (hairy vetch), 225 nucleotides. RefSeq lists it as uncharacterized. The record is from RefSeq and is a predicted model, not a curated record. Lineage: Eukaryota; Viridiplantae; Streptophyta; Magnoliopsida; Fabales; Fabaceae. The transcript has 3 exons.
GAAGCAUCGUCCCCAGACCGUACCUGAAGUUCAUUUCAAGCAAUUGAUAUCCUAUUGGAAGAACAAUAACAUCCAAAAAAUUAGCAAAAUCAAUGCUGUGAACAGAGCUAAGCAAAAGUAUAUGCAUCGGAUGGGCCCAACAAACUUUGCGAGGAUUCGUGCAAAACUGCGUGCUAAGAAAGAGGACGGAAAGGAAGUUAGCCAGGCAGAGAUGUUCAUUGAGAC